RNAcentral lists this long non-coding RNA (3338 nucleotides) under Sus scrofa (pig). Its description in RNAcentral is "lncRNA (ENSSSCG00060057127.1)". The record is from RNAcentral. Lineage: Eukaryota; Metazoa; Chordata; Mammalia; Artiodactyla; Suidae.
UAUUAUGUGUCCAGCACACUCAUAAACAUUACUGUACUAGCAGUGUUGCUACAGAAUUUACCUACAUUGUACGUCAGAAGUGCAGAAAGUGCACCUCCCUCAUUUUGUCUUCAGCUGUCUAUACUACUGCUGGCUAUUAGGGGAAAAUGGGAAAAAGAUAUGAAAUAAACCUGAGUGUUAUAUAUUAUUUUAAACAGUCUCAGUUAGUAUGUUCAGCUAAAAUUGAGUGGAGAUGUUUGAACUGUCAUAGAACCUUACUCUCAACUGCUUUUCUAAGAUCAUGGCCAACCUGUGGAGAAGAGAGAGAGAUGAGGGUAAUAAAAUCUCAAGGCCUUGGUGGAGUAGGGAGGGACUGAAGGAACUCUGGCCUCAUUUCAGGCCUUGACACUAUGCUGGAUGCCAUCUGCUGCUCUCAGACAUGGUCUUUUUCCACCUGGGCACUAGCAACCUGUGUUGCAGCAUGGAGCUGGUGAACCUGUGUCUGUUCCUUUGACAUGGCAGUGUUCCCCUGGCAGCAUGGGCCAUUUGCUCCUGGUGACUCAGAUUUUUCUCAGCUUUCAUUGUGUCCAGAACUUGAGUCAAGGCCCUGUCUUCUAUUCAGCCCCUGGCCUAAAAGUCCAUCUCCAGCCCAUGCCAUGCAGUCCUUCUAUCUGCCACAGCAGACCCUGACUAUUUACUGGUUCUUCUCUCUGUCUUAGGCCAGCCCACACCCCCCACCAUCCCCAACAGGGCUGCAUUGUUGCCUUGUAGUAAAUGAGACCUGUUGCAUAGUGCUCGCCUAGAUUCCCAAAUAAGGGAUGUGGUUCAAGGGUCCCUAUGGUGAUCUUUCUUCUUGGUUUAUUUAACACUCCAUCCUUCCCAGUGCUUCUCCUCAGAAAGUGGAAAUCCACAAAUAUCUGAAAACUGCUCUCUUCUUCUCCCUAAAGGCUCUUUUUCUUGCCACUUAUCUAAAACUAAACUCCCAUGAUUAACUUGCCGCAUAGGUUGAGGGAAAGAGUGGACAGAAGAAGUGAUCUUUAUGGUUUUGCUUUUGUAACAUAUAUAUUCUAAAUGGUAAUGAAAAGAAAUUUGGAAUGUCUUUUCUCUCACAGUUAAUCCUGUGACUCAUUUUACUGUGAGGUUCCAAAAUCCAGGGGUUUUUUUUUUUUUUUUUUUUAGAACAGUUCUGAAUGUUACUUUAGCCAUUUUGUUUUCAUUCUUUUGUAUCAAAUUCUAAUCUCUCUACUAGCAAGUGAAUGUCCUGAGUAGAGUAGAUAAUGCUGUAAAAUUUGGUUGUGAUGAUUGUUAUACACCUAUAAAUGUAAUUAAAUUCAUUAAGUAAUUAAAAAAUAAAAUAAAAUAAAAACAAAUUAAAAAAACAAAAUUAAAAAAGUAACUCCCACUGAACAUCAAAAUGAAGAGGAUAUUAAUUAGUUCUGUUUCUCACCCUUAAUCAAUGAUAGGGUUGAGAAAUAUCAGGAUUAAAUAAUAUAAUGAUGUAUAAUAAACCUUUUAAUUCCCUGGAUAAAUACAAUUAAUUUUGUAUUGUUGAUGUUGACUAAAUUAAGAAGUAUAUAAUGGUUCUAUUUCCACCAUGGCAACACAGGGAAAUCUGUGGAUCUGCUUCCUGGUAAGAUUAGUAAAAAUAAUUGAAAAAAAACAUAUUUAAAGACUUUAAAAAUGGUACCAAAGGCAUAUAGCAAAUGAAAGAACAUUUAUUUAAGAAAGCUUCCUGGGAGUUCCUGGUGGCUUAGCAGGUUAAGGAUCUGGCAUUGUCACUGCCAUGACUCUGCUUACUGCUAUUAUGCGGGUUCAGUCCCUGGCUUGGGAACUUCCAUGUGCUGUGAAUAUGGCCCCCCCAAAUUUUUUUAAUGAAAAUUAAAAAAAAACACCCAGUAAUUGGUAAGGACAGAAAAAGUCUGCAGUGUUUGAGUCACAGCCCACUCCCCUCCUCCCUCUGCCCAGUUCAGCUUGAAGCAAACUCUACUUCAAAUGGGUGCAGAAAAGAACACAGAGCUACCUCUCCUCUCAGCUCCCAGAUGAAGAGAUGCUCUAUCUUCUUGGGAGGGGCAGCCACUUUAGCAUCUUCAUUUCUGUGUCCAGAUAUCCAUUAUAGAGCCUAAGUUUCAAGCAAAUGGCAUCUGAGAGUGAGUACUCUCUUCCUUAGCCCAGUUCUGACUUGAGAGGGGCUUUAGCUUGGGGAUAGUAUGCUAAAAAUUCUGUGGCUCUAAUCACCCUCACUCCAGUUCACAUGUAAAGCAGAGGUUCCAUUUAGGGAGAGAUAAGCCAAAUAGACCAGAGGCAAGGUUAGGACUCCAUUCUGCCAGAGACCUAGAUCCAAAAACACAGAUGUCACUCGGAGUUAUGCCACCAUCCUCUCUCCCAGCUCCGGAGCCUUGGCCCAGAGGUUUUGCCUAGGGAAAGAAGCAGGCUGUAAAAUAGCUCCGAAUUUCUUCCCAAAGGAGUUGACUUCAUUUGCAUCAGAUUGUGGGGAUAUUCAAGCUUAAGGGAAUCCUUAAAACAAUGGAAGUCGUGCUGUAAAUCAACUCAGAGGAAACUUCUAGAUGCAUUUGAGAUACAAGCUAAAUCAUAGAAUAGCUAGUUUACUAGACAGAACCAGGGAAACAGACUUACUAAAAAGAGCCUUCCUUGGAUCUGACAAAACUCAAAAACUGAACUGAAAAAGUAUCCCUGUAGAAGAGCCUGAGUUUAAUUGGAUUAAUCUCUGGAGAAAUUUGUGUCCCAAGGCAUUGUUGACAAUUGUAGUGCCAUCAGCCAGCAAUUAAAGCAACCUUACAGCUGGGUCAAAGACAGGGAGCUUUAAAGGGACUGCACAAGACUGUCAUCCCAGGAUGACUAUACAGAUGCCCAAGGUUGCACCAUCUGAGGAGCAAUGUCAGAGGUUUCACACUGUGAGGUGAGAGGGAAGAACAGACUUCACCAAAAUAAUCCAACAGCAAACAACCUAGGGGAGACAAAGGAGAUCAACCAGUACCCAAAAUCACUACAAUAUAUUAUCUAAAAUAGCCAGUUUCCAACAAGAACAGGAAAAAGCUGAGACAUACAAAGAAACUGGAAAGUCCAAUGGAAAAAGCAGGUAAAAGAAACUGCUUAUAAAACAGAUACAAAUUUCAAAGUAGUACUGUAUAUGUAUGUGUGGAAAGGGGUGGGGAUGGGGAGAGAGCACGUGUUAGUGAGCAAGAGAGGCUUUUUUUCCAAAGUGCUAAAGGAAACCAUGCUUAAAGUAAAUGAAAAUAUGAUUACAGUAUUUCAUUAAAUUGAGAAUAUCAAUAAAGAGGUAGAAAAAAAAAAUUUUAAAGUAGAACCAAAUGUAGAUGGUGGAUUUGGAAAGUACAAAA